GUCUAUGGCCACACCACCCUGAACAUGCCUGAUCUCAUCUGAUCUCAGAAGCUAAGCAGAGUCGGGCCCAGUUAGUACUUAAAUGGGAGACCACCUGGGAAUACCGGGUGCUGUAGGCU
Callithrix jacchus (white-tufted-ear marmoset) is the source of this 119-nucleotide ribosomal RNA. The record is from Ensembl. NCBI's taxonomy places the organism in Eukaryota, Metazoa, Chordata, Mammalia, Primates, Cebidae.